This 778-nucleotide ribosomal RNA is filed under the name Shouchella clausii. Its description in RNAcentral is "bacterial SSU rRNA". It matches the Rfam family "Bacterial small subunit ribosomal RNA", at positions 1 to 767 of the family's 1533-position model. The record is from RNAcentral. Lineage: Bacteria; Bacillati; Bacillota; Bacilli; Caryophanales; Bacillaceae.
AUGAAUUUUAUAGUUUUGCUCAGGACGAACGCUGGCGGCGUGCUUAAUACAUGCAAGUCGAGCGAACAGAAAGGGAGCUUGCUCCUGACGUAGCGGCCGACGGGUGAGUAACACGUGGGCAACUGCUCUAUAGACUGGGAUAACUCCGGGAAACCGGAGCUAAUACCGGAUAAUGCCUUUCUCCACCUGGAGAGAGGGUGAAAGAUGGCUUCGGCUAUCACUAGGGGAUGGACCCGCGGCGCAUUAGCUAGUUGGUAAGGUAACGGCUCACCAAGGCAACGAUGCGUAGCCGACCUGAGAGGGUGAUCGGCCACACUGGGACUGAGACACGGCCCAGACUCCUACGGGAGGCAGCAGUAGGGAAUCUUCCGCAAUGGACGAAAGUCUGACGGAGCAACGCCGCGUGAGUGAGGAAGGCCUUCGGGUCGUAAAGCUCUGUUGUUAGGGAAGAACAGGUACCGUUCGAAUAGGGCGGUACCUUGACGGUACCUCACCAGAAAGCCACGGCUAACUACGUGCCAGCAGCCGCGGUAAUACGUAGGUGGCAAGCGUUGUCCGGAAUUAUUGGGCGUAAAGCGCGCGCAGGCGGUUUCUUAAGUCUGAUGUGAAAUCUCGGGGCUCAACCCCGGGCGGCCAUUGGAAACUGGGGAGCUUGAGUGCAGAAGAGGAGAGUGGAAUUCCACGUGUAGCGGUGAAAUGCGUAGAGAUGUGGAGGAACACCAGUGGCGAAGGCGACUCUCUGGUCUGUAACUGACGCUGAGGCGCAAAAGGUUUACGU